UAUGUUACCUAUCAACAUUUUACUAUAUUUAUAACGUAUACUAGAAGGUCAGAUAAUAUAAUGUGAUGCUUUACAAACUAAAGCCAGAAACUCGCUGCGUCAUUUGACCAUUGGUCGACGAACCCAACUCAGCUCUGCAACAUCGUUUACUUAUUGUCAGUGGCAGUAUUAACAGAUCUCAUCAAACACUAUCCGUUGAGCCUGCGUUCUCCCUGUGGAGAAAGGCAAGAAUCUUAACCACCGAGCUACAUCUUCACUACCACUUCUUCGCUCAGCUGGUUAAGGUCUUUCCCAACAACAAAAUCAUGUGGUGCAAAGCAUGUAUUACUUCAGCCACAUAGUAUAGGGGAACUGGCCUCUGAACACACCAUGUUUCAUUCAUCAGACAAUCAUUGAUUUCAUCUGCAGUCAUCAUAAUUGCAAUUAGAAAUAUUUUACUUUUAAUAAGUUCAACUUUACAAUGAUCAUCAUCAUUUUAUCAUCAGUUCAAAAGUAUUUAGAAAUAAUCUAUUUGUGUGCCAUUUCUUAAUUAAUAUUAGUAUUUGUUUUUGUUUUGAAAUAAUCUAGGUUGUUAUACUUAAAUGUUUUACUAAACUAUAGUCUUAUUUUAACCAGCGCAUCUUGCCUACAUCAUGUUGUUGUUAUCACAUAACUUAAUUUAAUAUUUUUAUCCACCAGAAACCAUAGUCUGUUAUUUUAAUCACAUGAAUCUUUGCUACAUGCUGAUGUAGUUAUAAGUUACUUUUAAUGUGGCAGCUCUUUAAAAUGUGUAAUAUAAUAUACAUUAUGCUGGAUAUUGACUAUGAAUACAUAUGAUUUGCAAUGUUUUAACCAGUGAGUGAAAGAAAUUGAUCCAAUAUCUAAUAAUGUUGUGUGUUAUGUGGAUUAUAGGAGGACGGUCUUGUUAUCGUUUCAUCUGUUGAAAGAAUGAUGUCUGCUGAAUUGUAAUUUGUUAAGCAGUUUUGCAAUUCUAUAAAUCAACAACACACUUUAGUAGAUUUAUAAUUGACAUUUACUGGUUUUGUUUUGUGAUAACAAAUAAUUUUUAAAAAUCAAAUAUUAUAUGAUAUAAAUUUUACAAAAUAAGUAGAUGAUAUUGAAAAAAAAAUGUCAUUUUAAAGUGAGAGUGAAUUGAAGCUUAAGGAUGAUGACGACGGUGAUGGCAAUAAUGAUGACCUUU
Long non-coding RNA from Anneissia japonica, 1180 nucleotides. RefSeq lists it as uncharacterized. The record is from RefSeq and is a predicted model, not a curated record. Lineage: Eukaryota; Metazoa; Echinodermata; Crinoidea; Comatulida; Comatulidae. The transcript is spliced from 2 exons.